RNAcentral lists this ribosomal RNA (465 nucleotides) under Vreelandella stevensii. RNAcentral's name for it is "partial 16S ribosomal RNA". It matches the Rfam family "Bacterial small subunit ribosomal RNA", at positions 338 to 795 of the family's 1533-position model. The record is from RNAcentral. Lineage: Bacteria; Pseudomonadati; Pseudomonadota; Gammaproteobacteria; Oceanospirillales; Halomonadaceae.
CCUACGGGAGGCUGCAGUGGGGAAUAUUGGACAAUGGGGGCAACCCUGAUCCAGCCAUGCCGCGUGUGUGAAGAAGGCCCUCGGGUUGUAAAGCACUUUCAGUGAGGAAGAACGCCUGGUGGUUAAUACCCAUCAGGAAAGACAUCACUCACAGAAGAAGCACCGGCUAACUCCGUGCCAGCAGCCGCGGUAAUACGGAGGGUGCGAGCGUUAAUCGGAAUUACUGGGCGUAAAGCGCGCGUAGGUGGCUUGAUAAGCCGGUUGUGAAAGCCCCGGGCUCAACCUGGGAACGGCAUCCGGAACUGUCAAGCUAGAGUGCAGGAGAGGAAGGUAGAAUUCCCGGUGUAGCGGUGAAAUGCGUAGAGAUCGGGAGGAAUACCAGUGGCGAAGGCGGCCUUCUGGACUGACACUGACACUGAGGUGCGAAAGCGUGGGUAGCAAACAGGAUUAGAUACCCGUGUAGUC